GUUGGAGAACGUAUAAAAUUGACCUGGAACUAGAAUGUUGCAUCACUUGUGGUAAAGCUGAUUAUAUAUCAAAUAUCUGAUGAAUGACUGGGAUUCUAUACAGAACUCAAGACAUGAAACUAGUUACGAGUUUAUUGGUGCUGUUGGCUGUUCAACUGAUCGAAUUGAUAGAUGGAAAAUCAUGUGCUAGAUUCUCUAAUGGAUGCAAUGCCCUUGGUUACGAAACUUACAGACUACUUUUCAAACCGGCGUGUGAUAAACAUGACGUUUGCUAUUCAUGUGGUUCCGGACGAAACGUUACAAGAUACGAUUGUGAUUACGACUUCUACUAUAACAUGGAAGAGCAGUGUUCCACCUUAUAUUUUUACCGUCGGCGCUGGUGUAACCUUGUGAAAUGGAACUUUUAUUUAAUAUUGCGUUCGAUUGGGUCAUCUUAUUACGUAAAUCAAUCGCCAUCAUAUUGCAGUCUGGAUUGGAUUGAUGAAUGCUUGCCGAAUGCAUGAAUUACGUGUAAAUGAUGUAUAAAAUAUAUUUAUAUGUUAUAUCGAUUACUUUCAUAUAUUUUACAACUGUUAUGAAAUGUUUGUAUUUACAUGUUUUUUAUCAGGCCUGGUGGAGUGGGGGUGGGAGCACCCAGGUAACUAUUCUAUUAAACCCGUAGACUUUCAGAAAAAGAAAACCCUGCUAUUCGCUAUACUGAUAUAUGGGUUAAGAUACCCACGGGGACGAGGGUCACGAUUAGGUUACUGAACAGUCGAUAUUUAUUUCAAUCUUUAUGUAAUUAGGUAAUUUAAAAAAAAACACACUCUUUCAUUGUGUCCCUUAUCCAUCACAUAAUUCACUGCUAUCAGUUAUGACUAGUUGACACAAAGCGUUGCCAUGCAAGAUACGCCCACAUUUUGCAAGAAAUGGAUGGGGGAGAGGUAAAAUCAAUAGGGCUCAUCCCCCCAAUCAAGAUCUUUUGAUAUUAAACAUAUUUGUUAAGUUUCCUCAGAAUGGGACAAUUGUAGCUCCACUGGAGGGCCUACACAAUUCAUAUAUAUUGCACAUUUUGCGUAAAAAGCAAGGGCUAUAGAUCUGGAAUGUAAGGUCUUAUGCGUACCAAAGUCGAACUCAUCCAAGAAUUUUUGAUCCUGUUAAAACAUGAAUUAGACAAAAACUGUCGCCUCAUAUUUUACAUUUUGCGAAAAAGGCAGGGGACCAAUGUGCUCCAAAAUUUAACUCAUUCAAGAGCUAGUGAUACUAGUUUUAAGUUCCAUCUAAAUCGGAUAAAAAUUUUGACCUCUAGAUGGUCUACAACCUUUGUAUUACAUGCUUUUUUUUACUACUUGCGUAAAUGGGAGCGACCAUUUGACUGAAAGUUUCGGUCGGAUUUUCACAAAAUUCGGACUCAACCAUAAUUGUUCUGUAACGGUGAUAUAUUUGAACGGUUUUGAAAAUAAGAUAAAAAUAGUGACGUCUAGAGCGUCGGUCCACAAGCUAAAAACCCAGACCUUUGGGCUAGGUCAAAUUGGAUGAAAAUUCGAACCUCUGGGUGUUCCACGACCUGGGUAUUACAUGCUUUUAAGCACAGCUGCCAUUUUGUCGGGCAAUUUUCACAAAAUUUGCACUUAACCGUAAUUAUGUUGUAACGUUGAUAUAUUUGAACGUUUUUUACAAGGGUCAACAAGCUAAACAUGUAUAUGUAAAGAUAGUGACGGUCCUAUUUGCACCAAUUUCAAAAGAAACCGAGAUCUUUCGGUUCUAAACAUAAUUUUAUCAAAAUCGUAUAAAAAUUAUGAUCUCUAGAUCUAUGUCCACAGUCUUGAUAUCAUUAUGCAUAUUUGUCCAGUUCAGUAUCGCAGGAAACCACCAUCGACCGUGUUUGCAUGGUAAGGGACUUAGAAAGUCAAUAAAGUUUCACUUCAUUGCUGAGUAGUAAUUUUGUUAGCUGGAAAUCGCUAAGAAAGCGCCUCUGUCGAUUAAGACCACAAGGAGCUUGCUUCCACCGGACCUGAUUUAUUACAAACACAUUAAUAGAAAAUUUAUAUAUAUAUAUAUAUUUAUUAUGUUUUAUCAGUUGGUUAUUCAAUUAAAGAUACAUUCCCACGAAA
This is a long non-coding RNA of Patella vulgata (common limpet), 2093 nucleotides long. RefSeq lists it as uncharacterized. The record is from RefSeq and is a predicted model, not a curated record. The transcript has 3 exons. NCBI's taxonomy places the organism in Eukaryota, Metazoa, Mollusca, Gastropoda, Patellidae.